Molecule: long non-coding RNA, 1208 nt
Organism: Nerophis ophidion (straightnose pipefish)
Lineage: Eukaryota; Metazoa; Chordata; Actinopteri; Syngnathiformes; Syngnathidae
Exons: 4
Source: RefSeq, a predicted model, not a curated record
GAACACUUGGGGGGCGAUUGCAAGGAGGACAAACAGUUUUUGUGUGUUGUCAGGUCUCGCUGCUGUGCCAUUCAAGUACUGGACAUUCAAUAAUUUGCACGCGUCAAACUGGUCAACACAGUCGCCCUCAGUAUCAGCCCAAAGUGUUGAAAAGACGGAGUGAUUGAGUAUCGCCAGGAGCACCUGAAUGCAGACAGAUGACAUAGGCGGUUGUGUUGAAGUCGCAGAUUCCUGACAGCAGACAGACUUGUGGAGAAGUCAGCAGGGAGGCUCGUGAGCUGGUUCCAGCUGAGAUCCAACUUCUCCAGAUUUCCUACCUGUGGCUGAAUGUCCCGUAUCUGACUGUGGGCCAACAAUAACACUCGUAAGGACCACAGCCCACUGAAGGCCCGGGUGCAAAUCUCGCUCAGGUUGUUGCCUCCCAGCUCAAGCAGCCAGGUGCCGUGUGGGAGACCCCUGGGAACGUGCUCGAGGCCCUGGCUGUUACAGUCCACCAGGUCAGUGUGUUCGUGACAAAGGCACUGACGAGGGCACAGUCGCAAACACGCCACGGAGGGGAAAAGAUAAGGAGGUGGACAAAAUGUGAGAAGGAGUCCAAGAAGGAUAAAGAACAGGGGACUCAUGCUUCUUGGAGAGACCAGGAACCUCUCAUGUGAGUAUUUAAGUGCACUUCACUUGAUGUUUACACGAAGUCAGCAUUGUGGCACCUGUAAUAGAGGAUCAUAGUUUAGUGUCGUAUCACAAUUGCAAUGUCAACAACCGCCUGUGUCGACGGACAUCAAAAUUUGGCUGUGUCUUUAGAAAGUUUCUUCCUUUGAGACUGCAUUUAUUUAUUUCCAAAGUAAACACAUCAGCUUUCACACUGCACUCUGAAUAAAUUAAUUAUUCUGCCCUCACUACAAGUUUCCACUAGUGUGUGUAGCUAAACAGAUAACAAGUAUCACAUUUGCAAUGUCAACAACCGCCUGUGUCGAUGUGAGUCAACCAAUUUAUAUGGUACCGGUCUGGUUCUAUUUUUUUUAAUGGUUCUUCUUUGCUGUAUUGCUAUCUUUUAGCACAGUUGUAACGAUUCGUUGCAAUAACGACAGUGAUUUCCACUGUUUAAGGUUCUAUUCCCCAAAGCCCAUGUUAAAAAAUGAGUUCCUGCUCUAACAAAAAUGCCAUCAAGCAUUGUCACACUAUCAACAUAUAGGUAUGAAUUCAUGAAA